ACAGAGGUCCCAAGCGUUGUUCGGAUUCACUGGGCGUAAAGGGUGCGUAGGUGGUAAGGCAAGUCAGGUGUGAAAUCUCCGGGCUCAACCCGGAAAUGGCAUUCGAAACUACCUUGCUAGAGGGUUUGAGGGGGGACUGGAAUACUUGGUGUAGCAGUGAAAUGCGUAGAUAUCAAGUGGAACACCAGUGGCGAAGGCGAGUCCCUGGAAAACUCCUGACACUGAGGCACGAAAGCUAGGGGAGCAAACAGGA
This 253-nucleotide ribosomal RNA is filed under the name uncultured prokaryote. RNAcentral's name for it is "partial 16S ribosomal RNA". It matches the Rfam family "Bacterial small subunit ribosomal RNA", at positions 525 to 777 of the family's 1533-position model. The record is from RNAcentral.